UAACAGAUGAAGAAAGGCUAUGGAAGAGACAGAUUCUGGAGGAUGCAGCAUUCAAGGUUCUAUCUUGGAAGCAGAGACUGUGCCCUCACCAGAUGCUGAACCUGCUGAGCACCCUGAUCUUCCACUUCACCUUCAUCAGAACUGGACGCGCAUGAAAUUUGGUGCCGUGACUCGGAUCGGCGGACCUCCCUUAGGAGAUCAAUCCCCUGUCCUCCUGCUCUUUGCUCCAUGAGAAAGAUCCACCUACGACCUAAGGUCCUCAGACCAACCAGCCCAAGAAACAUCUCACCAAUUUCAAAUCCGAAAUCCUUCAUCUAAUCUGGCAAACACAUGUGGCAGGUUUUUCUCACCGCAUAAAAUAUGUUAUAGAGUAGUCCAUCUAUUUCUCUUCCAUGGAAGAGUUCAUCUGGUAGAUUGGACUACCACUUUUCCUUGAAGAGGAAGAAGAAGAGGGAGGAAGGAGAGAAAAAAGGAAGGAAGGAAAGAAGAAAAGAAAAAAGAAUGAGAGAGAGAGAACAAAAGCAUCACCAAUAAGUGACGCUAGGAGCUAGCCCAAUGCAGAAGAAUGAAAUUGGACCCUUUUCUUUCACCAUAUACAAAAACUCACUCAAGAUGGGUGAAAGACUUAAAUGUAAAACCUAAAACUGUAAAAACCCUAGGAAACCUACGAAAUGUCAUUCUGGAUAUAGACCCUGGCAAGGAUUUCAUGAUAAAGACUCCAAAAGCAAUUGCAACAGAAACAAAAAUUGACAAGUAGAAUAUAAUUAAAGAGCUUCUGCACAGCAAAAUAAACAAUCAAAAGGGUAAACAGACAACCUACAGAAUGGGAAAAUGUAUUUGCAAACUAUGCAUCUGAUAAAGGUCUAAUAUCCAGCAUCUAUAAGGAACUUAAACAACUCUACAAGAAAAAACAAACAACCCCACCAAAAUUUUCUUAGAAUAGUCAAAAAAAUAGACAAAGAACAUGAACAGAGAAGACAUGCAUGCAGCCAAGAGAAGACAUGCUUCUCAAGAGAAGACAUGCAUGCAGCCAACAAGCAUAUGAAAAAAA
This is a long non-coding RNA of Homo sapiens (human), 1051 nucleotides long. Ensembl annotates it as long intergenic non-protein coding RNA 882. Lineage: Eukaryota; Metazoa; Chordata; Mammalia; Primates; Hominidae. The record is from Ensembl.